Long non-coding RNA from Myxocyprinus asiaticus (Chinese sucker), 513 nucleotides. RefSeq lists it as uncharacterized. The transcript is spliced from 3 exons. The record is from RefSeq and is a predicted model, not a curated record. NCBI's taxonomy places the organism in Eukaryota, Metazoa, Chordata, Actinopteri, Cypriniformes, Catostomidae.
AUAUCUUCUGGUCGUGGUCAUGGUGUCCUGUGUGUUGGUUGGAUUGCUGAUCAUCUUUAUGGUGUCCCUGAUAGUUGUAAGCUGCAGGAAUCCAAAGGAAAGAUCCUCCUCCAAAGAAGACUUAAGUUCAUAUAAUGAUAUGGAAAUGCACAAACCUGCGGGUGACCAAAAAUCCCUCGGAGAACAAAGCACGUUACGCUGAUUAUGAUGACUAUGACGAGGUGAGCUACAAGAGUCAAGUUCCUCCAGCAUAUUCUGGCUAUGGUGUGAAGGGAGUGGAAAAUGGCUCAAGGGGAUUGCAAAACUCAUACUAUCGGCAAGAUGAUGACAGAAUGCGCAGAUAUUAGCAUCACAUGAUCAAGACAAUUCCCCGCAUUUGGAUGAUUUUGUUUCUUCUUCACUUGGACUGUAUCACUUUUUUUUUUUUUUUUUUACUUCUUUAUGGCCAAAACGUCAAAGGUUUCAAGGCAGAGAAUAAUUAAAUACAGCUAUAACAAACAGACAUUAGAGUAU